Molecule: ribosomal RNA, 474 nt
Filed under: uncultured bacterium
Lineage: Bacteria
Description: bacterial SSU rRNA
Rfam family: Bacterial small subunit ribosomal RNA
Source: RNAcentral
UGGCGGCAGGCUUAACACAUGCAAGUCGAGCGGUAGCAGAUCUAGCUUGCUAGAUGCUGACGAGCGGCGACGGGUGAGUAACGCGUAGGAACCUGCCCAGUAGUGGGGGAUAGCCCGGGGAAACUCGGAUUAAUACCGCAUACGCUCUACGGAGGAAAGAGGGGGCUUCGGCUCUCGCUAUUGGAUGGGCCUGCGUGAGAUUAGCUAGUUGGUGAGGUAAUGGCUCACCAAGGCGACGAUCUCUAGCUGGUCUGAGAGGAUGAUCAGCCACACUGGGACUGAGACACGGCCCAGACUCCUACGGGAGGCAGCAGUGGGGAAUAUUGCACAAUGGGCGCAAGCCUGAUGCAGCCAUGCCGCGUGUGUGAAGAAGGCUUUCGGGUUGUAAAGCACUUUCAGUGGGGAGGAAGGCCUCGUAGUUAAUAGCUGCGAGGAUUGACGUUACCCACAGAAGAAGCACCGGCUAACUCCGUG